This 28-nucleotide small RNA is filed under the name Bombyx mori (domestic silkworm). RNAcentral's name for it is "ovarian small RNA-3858". Lineage: Eukaryota; Metazoa; Arthropoda; Insecta; Lepidoptera; Bombycidae. The record is from RNAcentral.
UGUAAUGUGGUGUAUGUAAAUGCGUACC